GGUUAAAGGUACCCGUACCGCAAACCGACACAGGGGGGUGAGGAGAGUAUCCUAAGGCCAGCGAGAGAACUGUUGUUAAGGAACUCGGCAAAAUGACCCCGUAACUUAGGGAUAAGGGGUGCCACCAGCAGGUGGCCGCAGAGAAUAGGCCCAAGCGACUGUUUACCAAAAACAUAGGUUUCUGCUAAGUCGCAAGACGAUGUAUAGGAGCUGACGCCUGCCCGGUGCUGGAAGGUUAAGGGGAUCUGUUAGAG
RNAcentral lists this ribosomal RNA (254 nucleotides) under Clostridioides difficile. RNAcentral's name for it is "partial 23S ribosomal RNA". It matches the Rfam family "Bacterial large subunit ribosomal RNA", at positions 1630 to 1895 of the family's 2925-position model. The record is from RNAcentral. Lineage: Bacteria; Bacillati; Bacillota; Clostridia; Peptostreptococcales; Peptostreptococcaceae.